This 468-nucleotide ribosomal RNA is filed under the name uncultured bacterium. RNAcentral describes it as "partial 16S ribosomal RNA". It matches the Rfam family "Bacterial small subunit ribosomal RNA", at positions 28 to 507 of the family's 1533-position model. The record is from RNAcentral.
GACGAACGCUGGCGGCGUGCUUAACACAUGCAAGUCGAACGGAAAGGCCCUGCUUUUGUGGGGUGCUCGAGUGGCGAACGGGUGAGUAACACGUGAGUAACCUGCCCUUGACUUUGGGAUAACUUCAGGAAACUGGGGCUAAUACCGGAUAGGAGCUCCUGCUGCAUGGUGGGGGUUGGAAAGUUUCGGCGGUUGGGGAUGGACUCGCGGCUUAUCAGCUUGUUGGUGGGGUAGUGGCUUACCAAGGCUUUGACGGGUAGCCGGCCUGAGAGGCUGACCGGCCACAUUGGGACUGAGAUACGGCCCAGACUCCUACGGGAGGCAGCAGUGGGGAAUAUUGCACAAUGGGCGGAAGCCUGAUGCAGCAACGCCGCGUGCGGGAUGACGGCCUUCGGGUUGUAAACCGCUUUCGCCUGUGACGAAGCGUGAGUGACGGUAACGGGUAAAGAAGCACCGGCUAACUACGUG